RNAcentral lists this ribosomal RNA (590 nucleotides) under Waltiozyma pijperi. RNAcentral describes it as "LSU rRNA". It matches the Rfam family "Eukaryotic large subunit ribosomal RNA", at positions 36 to 641 of the family's 3401-position model. The record is from RNAcentral. Lineage: Eukaryota; Fungi; Ascomycota; Saccharomycetes; Phaffomycetales; Wickerhamomycetaceae.
UUGCAUAUCAAUAAGCGGAGGAAAAGAAACCAACAGGGAUUGCCUCAGUAACGGCGAGUGAAGCGGCAAAAGCUCAAAUUUGAAAUCUAGCACCUUCGGUGUUCGAGUUGUAAUUUGAAGAUGGUAACCUUGGGUUUGGCUCUUGUCUAUGUUCCUUGGAACAGGACGUCAUAGAGGGUGAGAAUCCCGUCUGAUGAGAUGCCCAUUCCUAUGUAAGGUGCUAUCGAAGAGUCGAGUUGUUUGGGAAUGCAGCUCUAAGUGGGUGGUAAAUUCCAUCUAAAGCUAAAUAUUGGCGAGAGACCGAUAGCGAACAAGUACAGUGAUGGAAAGAUGAAAAGAACUUUGAAAAGAGAGUGAAAAAGUACGUGAAAUUGUUGAAAGGGAAGGGCAUUAGAUCAGACUUGGUGUUUUACGAUUAUCUUCUCUUCUUGAGUUGUGCACUCGUAUUUCACUGGGCCAGCAUCGAUUCGGAUGGCAAGAUAAUGGCAGUUGAAUGUGGCUUCACUUCGGUGGAGUGUUAUAGCUUCUGCUGAUAUUGCCUGUCUGGAUCGAGGGCUGCGUCUUGACUAGAUGCUGCGUAAACAGUACAU